RNAcentral lists this transfer-messenger RNA (346 nucleotides) under Clostridiales bacterium. It matches the Rfam family "transfer-messenger RNA". From Rfam's summary of the family: Bacterial tmRNA, also known as 10Sa RNA or SsrA, is named for its dual tRNA and mRNA-like properties. Its role is to liberate the mRNA from a stalled ribosome. Lineage: Bacteria; Bacillati; Bacillota; Clostridia; Eubacteriales. The record is from RNAcentral. RNAcentral also lists the same sequence under 1 other name.
GGGGGUGCACUGGUUUCGACGGGAGUUUUCGAGGAUACGGUAAGCGAGCCGCGGCCCCUGUACCGCGUAAAAACGGGGACAAAAAAUAACUGACAAUACCGAAUUGUCUUUCGCGGCCUAAGGCCGUGCGUCGGCCCUCAUUGCCCACAGGUGAGGAUCCCGGCGUCAGCUAUGUGGGGAACGAGCACACCAAAGCUUUGAGGCGUUGCCCGUAACAUGAAGCUACCGUAGUCGUAAGCCUGCUGCGAGGCGUGCGGCGAGGGGAAUCCCAAAAUCGUAGAUGCGCUCGGAGAAAACUGUAUAAGCGUGCUUUCGGACGGGGGUUCGAUUCCCCCCACCUCCACCA